GUGAUCAUUACUGAGCGCAGAAUAUCUAGCAUGGAGUUGAGACUGAGCUGGGUCUUCCUUGUUGUUCUUUUCAAAGGUGUCCAGUGUGAGGUGCAGCUGGUGGAGUCUGGGGGAGGCCUGAUGCAUCCUGGAAAGUCCCUGAAACUCUCCUGUGCAGCCUCUGGAUUCACAUUCAGUAACUACUGGAUGAACUGGGUUCGCCAGGUUCCAGGGAAGGGGCUGGAGUGGGUUGCUCUAAUUAUGGACAAAGUUAAUAAUUACGAAGCACGCUAUGUGGAGUCUGUGAAAGGCAGAUUCACCAUCUCAAGAGAUGAUUCCAAAAGCAGCAUCUACCUGCAAAUGAACAGCUUAAAACCCGAAGACACGGCCAUUUAUUAUUGUACUAGAAACACAGUGAGAGAUCUUCAGUGUAAACCCAGACACAAACCUCCUUGCAGGAGCGCUUAG
Molecule: non-coding RNA, 447 nt
Organism: Peromyscus maniculatus bairdii (prairie deer mouse)
Lineage: Eukaryota; Metazoa; Chordata; Mammalia; Rodentia; Cricetidae
Source: the annotation of a RefSeq genome assembly